This 253-nucleotide ribosomal RNA is filed under the name uncultured bacterium. RNAcentral's name for it is "partial 16S ribosomal RNA". It matches the Rfam family "Bacterial small subunit ribosomal RNA", at positions 524 to 776 of the family's 1533-position model. The record is from RNAcentral.
UACGGAGGGUGCAAGCGUUAUCCGGAUUUACUGGGUUUAAAGGGUGCGUAGGAGGGCAGGUAAGUCAGUGGUGAAAUCUCCGAGCUUAACUCGGAAACUGCCAUUGAUACUAUUUAUCUUGAAUACUUUGGAGGUAAGCGGAAUAUGUCAUGUAGCGGUGAAAUGCUUAGAUAUGACAUAGAACACCAAUUGCGAAGGCAGCUUACUACACAGUUAUUGACACUGAGGCACGAAAGCGUGGGGAUCAAACAGG